GGUCGCUUAGCUCAGUUGGUUAGAGCGUGGUGCUAAUAGCUCAUCUACGAUACGCCAAGGUCGCAGGUUCGACCCCUGCAGUGAUCA
Non-coding RNA from Pyronema omphalodes CBS 100304, 87 nucleotides. NCBI's taxonomy places the organism in Eukaryota, Fungi, Ascomycota, Pezizomycetes, Pezizales, Pyronemataceae. The record is from Rfam.